RNAcentral lists this ribosomal RNA (659 nucleotides) under Clostridioides difficile. Its description in RNAcentral is "partial 23S ribosomal RNA". It matches the Rfam family "Bacterial large subunit ribosomal RNA", at positions 2263 to 2925 of the family's 2925-position model. Lineage: Bacteria; Bacillati; Bacillota; Clostridia; Peptostreptococcales; Peptostreptococcaceae. The record is from RNAcentral.
GGGCAGUUUGACUGGGGCGGUCGCCUCCCAAAAGGUAACGGAGGCGCUCAAAGGUUCUCUCAGUACGGUCGGAAAUCGUACGUAGAGUGUAAAGGCAAAAGAGAGCUUGAUUGCAAGACAUACAGGUCGAGCAAGGAUGAAAAUCGGACUUAGUGAUCCGGUGGUUCUGCGUGGAAGGGCCAUCGCUCAACGGAUAAAAGCUACCCUGGGGAUAACAGGCUUAUCUCCCCCAAGAGUCCACAUCGACGGGGAGGUUUGGCACCUCGAUGUCGGCUCAUCACAUCCUGGGGCUGUAGUAGGUCCCAAGGGUUGGGCUGUUCGCCCAUUAAAGUGGUACGCGAGCUGGGUUCAGAACGUCGUGAGACAGUUCGGUCCCUAUCCGUCGCAGGCGUAGGAAAUUUGAGAAGACCUGUCCUUAGUACGAGAGGACCGGGAUGGACGUACCUCUGGUGUACCAGUUGUCCUGCCAAGGGCAUGGCUGGGUAGCUAUGUACGGAAUGGAUAAGCGCUGAAAGCAUCUAAGCGCGAAGCCAACUUCAAGAUAAGAUUUCCCACCGCAAGGGUAAGACCCCAGAAAGACUAUCUGGUUGAUAGGUCGAAGGUGUAAGUGCAGCAAUGUAUUUAGCUUAUCGAUACUAAUAGGUCGAGGACUUGACCAA